CAUGAGUUGCAAAACUCCCAACCAUUGUGAACGUACCUGAAUCGUUGCUUCGGCGGGGAGGCUCCUCAGCGGCCGCGCGCCACCCCUCGGGAGCCCCGGAGGCAUCCAAACUAUAGCUAUAUUUGGCCUCUCUGAGUAGCUUAUAAAUAAGUCA
This 154-nucleotide unclassified non-coding RNA is filed under the name soil metagenome. Its description in RNAcentral is "partial internal transcribed spacer 1". The record is from RNAcentral.